This is a long non-coding RNA of Eriocheir sinensis (Chinese mitten crab), 1310 nucleotides long. RefSeq lists it as uncharacterized. NCBI's taxonomy places the organism in Eukaryota, Metazoa, Arthropoda, Malacostraca, Decapoda, Varunidae. The record is from RefSeq and is a predicted model, not a curated record. The transcript has 3 exons.
UUUCUACUCUAGUUAAUAUUACGUUGAAGGAAGUGACGGUCGAGCUUAUUUUUGAAGGAGUCAAUCGUGUUGCACUGGACCACUGAUGGUGGAAGCUUAUUCCAUUCUCGCACUACAACGUUGGUGAAGAAAAAUUUGGUGCAGUCUGAAUUUACUUGUCUACAUCUGAGUUUUACGCCAUUGUUCCUCGUGCGCAAAGUGUCAUCGAUCAGAAACAAUGUUGAUCUGUCUAUAUUCGUGAAACCAUUAAGUAUUUUAAAACAUUCGAUCAGUUUUCCUCGGAGGCGACGUUUCUCAAGAGAGAACAUGUUAAGGGUAGAAAGCCUUUCUUCGUAGGAUUUGUUGCGCAAGGAAGGGAUCAUUUUCGUUGCCCGACGCUGAAUACCUUCUAAUUUAGCUAUAUCCUUUGCAUGGUGGGGAGACCAAAACUGUACCGCAUAUUCCAAGUGGGGUCUGACUAAACUGUUGUAGAGCGGGAGUAUUACAUCUUUAUUCUUGAAUAAAAAGUUUCUUUUAAUGAAGCCCAACAUUCUGUUCGCUUUAUUUGCUGCAUCGAUGCAUUGCUGUGAGAAUUUGAGGUUUGACGCGAUUUUGAUCCCCAAGUCCUUGACGCAUUGAACGCUUUUGAGUUUAACGCCGUGCAUUUCGUAAUCGAACUUCUUAUUCCUCGUUCCAACUUGAAGGACCUGGCACUUGCUUACGUUAAAGGGCAUCUCCCAUCUAUCCGACCAAGCUGAAAUUUUGUGCAGAUCCUCUUGGAGGCUUUGCCUGUCUUCGUCAGUGAGAACCGAGUUACCAAUCUUUGUGUCGUCUGCAAAUUUACUAAUGCGAUUAUUGAGUCUAACAUCCACGUCGUUGAUGUAAAUAAUGAAGAGCACUGGGCCAAGAACCGAGCCCUGAGGAACGCCACUAGUGACCGGCGCCCACUCUGAGUUAAAUCCGUCAAUCACUACUCUUUGUUGUCUGUUGCUCAACCAAUUCGCGAUCCAUUGGUGUACUUGACCGUCAAUACCUAUUUGCUUUAAUUUGUAAAGUAAUUUAUGAUGUGGGACUUUAUCAAACGCUUUCUGGAAAUCAAGAUAGACUACGUCCAGUGAUUUGGUUACGUCAUAAACAGUGAAGAGGUCGUUAUAAAAGGUUAAUAAGUUUGAUAGGCAGGAUCUUUUGUUUCGGAAGCCAUGUUGUGAGUCCCCAAUCAAUGAGUGGCUUUCAAGGUAAUUCACAAUUUUGUCUCUAAUUAUGCCCUCAAGUAGCUUACCUACAACCGAAGUUAGACUAAUGGGCCUGUAAUUACCUGGUACUUUAUUGUC